GAUGAAGAACGUAGCGAAAUGCGAUAAGUAAUGUGAAUUGCAGAAUUCAGUGAAUCAUCGAAUCUUUGAACGCAUAUUGCGCCCCUUGGUUAUUCCGGGGGGCACACCUGUUCGAGCGUCAUUAUAACCCCUCAAGCUCAGCUUGGUGUUGGGGCCUGCCGACUGGCAGCCCUUAAAAUCAGUGGCGGCGCCAUCUGGCUCUAAGCGUAGUAAUUUCUCUCGCUAUAGAGUCCCGGUGGAUGCUUGCCAGCAACCCCCAACUUUCUAUGGUUGACCUCGGAUCAGGUAGGGAUACCCGCUGAACUUAAGCAUAUCAAUAAGCGGAGGA
RNAcentral lists this unclassified non-coding RNA (328 nucleotides) under soil metagenome. RNAcentral's name for it is "partial contains 5.8S ribosomal RNA, internal transcribed spacer 2, and large subunit ribosomal RNA". The stretch from base 1 to 121 matches the Rfam family "5.8S ribosomal RNA", at positions 35 to 154 of the family's 154-position model. The record is from RNAcentral.